CUCUCUCACAAAACACAGCGCCCCUUCUCCUCUUUCAGCUCGUUCUUCUCUCUCGGUGCCGCCACCGACAUCACCCACAUUCUCCUCCGAGCAAUUGUCAGUGCCGCCGGCAUCGCUUCCAGUAUUAUUCGAUUAUUUCUCUAAUUUUUUUUACUUUUAUUUUCAAGUAUGGGUCCUCUCUCUCUCUCUCUCUCUCUCUCUCUCUCACUCAAUUUCUCUGUUUUUCUUUCUUUGUUACUAAUUUCCCUUACCUAUUGAACAUCUGCACUCAUUAAAUUUCAUCAGAAUUACAAACUUUAAACAUCUAUUUGAAACAACAAUGGAAGAACCUCAUUGGAACCCUACCCUUUGAAUUCAAUUGAACUGUGCAUCGAAGAUUUAAUUGGUUUGUAGGUUCUGUAAUUUUUGUUGAUAGUCAUUUAUCCCAAAUCCUACGAGAUUUACAGUGAUUGCUUAUGAAUAAUGAAUUCCAUGUUUUAAUUUGAAGGUUCAUACCUGGAGCAGUGGUCAAUGUGACUAUUUCUACUUGUGGUUGAACAUUCUUUAUGUUACUUCUCUCUCUCUCUCUCUCUCUCUCUCACACACACACACACACACACACACACACACAAACACACACACACUCUCACACUGCAGUUUGAAGGAAAUAAGUAUAUCUAUACUAAUGUGUAUUUCAAUUCAAUUGCUAGGGAUGCUGUGGUAACAAUGAACAUAUGAAGCUUAAGAUAUAUAAAUAUAGUAAGGUAUAAUGAAUUUAUCUUAGUGUUUAUGAACACAAUAGUUUGAAGGCACUAUGAAUGGAAUCCAAAAUGGGUUUUGUUCAAUAGCUGUUAUGCCUUAUCUGUUAAGGCUACUCAACCCCAGCCUUGGUCCAUAGCUGUGCUUACUACCAUAAGUCUUAAACUUGGACUAUUGGUUUUCAAUAGAGUGGCCAGUCAAUAACUCUAGCCCACCAUGCUGGUUGUCUCAUCAUGACUUAAUGCCUCUCCAUUAUAACACCUUAAAUAUUUCUUACAAUUCUGUUUUAUGUUUCUAUGACUUUUAAUUAGUUGCUACAUUGACAAUUGGUGCCGAGUAUGGUUUUGUUUCAUUUGCUGAUCAUGAUGAUGCUUUUGAGGAAAUUCUCAUUCUUUGUUUCUCUAUUUAGUCUUCAUGUUCCAAAAUCCAAAUCCGUUAUCGCUUGAGGAACGGAUGGGGUACAAAACAGCAGGAUGGUAUACCUAUCAUUCUACGAGGGUAAAAUUUACAAUUUGUGAGGAUCAUCAUAACAUUACUGGGAAGGGAAACAUUAUUUUUUGAUCACCUGGAUGGGAUGCAUUUCUUUGUCUCUAGUGAACCUUGCAGUUGGAUCUGAGGACGCAGAAUUAGAGUUGCCACUUGAAAUACUGUUAGUCUAUUUUGUAGAUGCACAUAUGAGGAGAUUUAAGAAAAAGAGAAGAAACAGGUAUAAAGAAUUUGGUGGUGUAAAUAAUUUUACUUCAUCAAAUGAAAUAUUGAUAUUAAAACACUAUAUGAUGGAAGAAAGAAAAUAGAAUUUAAAGAUAACACUAGUUGCAGUCUGAUUGUUCUAUACUACACACGGGUACCUACGUUCAUAAAUGUACCCAUGCUGACAUAUUUGUGGAUAAUAUGGAAUAAAAUAAUUUCAUGGAGGGCUUUUUUGAGUCGAAAUUCUUAACAAUUGUAUGUGGCUGGACUGGCAGCUUGACCUGAUUGCUUCCAAACUGUUUAUUGAAAUUUGAAUUACAAGAUUAUGGCACCUUCAGGAGUUUAGAAAAAGAAAAAGAAAGAAUUUAAUAGUCUUUUGAAAUACAGUGGUUCUCCCUUCGGUGCGUCCCCCCCCCCCCAACUUUUUCCAUUUUCCUUUCCAAAUUCCUUCUCAAAUCCGUGAACCAAACACAAGAUAUGAAAAGAUAAAUGUUAUUCCACAUCUAUGUAAAUGCGUGUGUAAAUUGUUAGGUGAAAAAUUAGAUAACUCUAACAUUAUUCAUGAAAAAGAGAAAUUCUCAAACAAUGGCUUGGCAUCUCACAAAUAAAUUUGAGUCAUUCUUUCCAUACCAUUGCCUAUUGUGACAGUAAAUAUCAUUGUUGUACGAAAAAUGUUGAGCAAAUUUGAUUAAAAUAAUAAAAAACAGUAAAUAAAAAAUUCAAGUGAAAGUGAGUUAGUUGCAAACAUCAGCUUGACAUAUGAGGGCAAGUCCUACUAUCAGCUGAAAAUAGAAAAGUGUUGGAUCAACUUAAAAUAGCUUGGAUUGUUGACUCAAGAGUAGUUUAGGUGUGAUUUAUUGAAAUGUCCAUCAUAUUUGAAAGCUGGAUUUUAUUGUCAAACAAUCAUUGGUUUCAAUACAAAACUAAAAAGUCAAAUCAUAAAAGUAUGACUUUGCCUUAGUGACAUCCUUAUAGAGGCAAAUGGUAAAUUCGGACACCACUAGCAAUGUAUAGUCAAAAACCUUCCUCAAUUGUAACUAGUUGAACUUGCGCAAAAUUAUGAAUUAAAUGUUCAGCUUGCUGAUUCAAUUUUUUAAUGCUCAAUUGCUUUGUCUAUUUUCUCUUGUGAUUUAUGUGUGGUUGUCAUUUAUAUAACUCGGCAUAAUCAUUGAACUUCAAAUUAUUUUUAAAUUAAAAUUUUUAGUUUUGAUUUUUUUUGUUAUAUAUAAAAUUUGUCCUGUUCAUCUAACUUCAAUUAACUCGGCAUAGUCAGACAUGGACAAGAUUUGGUUGGCACUACAUAGCACAGUUGAUGGAAGGAUAAGUCGGCCAUAUUGUAAUGGGAUUUCUGCUACUUUGAAGACAUCGAUUGGUUAAUUCACUCUCUAUCAAGCUAAGAGGUUGCCUAGAGCUCAGCCUGCUCAGAAUCCUGCAGGAUGGUUCUUGUGGACAGACCAAUAGAAGGAUCCCGAUCUGCACCAUGUUGUGCCUAAUAUUUGACUAUUUUGAUGCCUGUCUUCCCUGGACAGCUAUGUUACAUUCGUAAGAACCUGUUCCAUGCAGUUUUUGUUUUGGAUCCUGGUUCAGCUUGCGGUCUUGAAGCAAUCCAUUGACAUGAUUAUUUCUUUGUAUGAGAAUAAUCUUCCAAUGAGAUUUGGGGUGAUAUUGUUCUCUAAGAAGUUCAUCAAGAUGAUUGAAAUGAAUGAUGGCAAAAUCCCAGCAGCUCCCAUGAGUAAUGAUGAUGUAUCCAGUCUGAUCAUACGUCUUUUUAUUUAAAUUAAGGAACAUCACGGGAUUCACAUGGCUUUCCAGUUUUUGAGCAAUAUAAAUAAAUUACGAAUUGAGUCAGCAGAUCCUACAGAAGAUGCUCCUGAAAUGCAUCAUGUGGAAGGGGCAUUUGUUGAAACAUUAUUACCAAAGGCUAAAUCUCCCCCUCAAGAUGCUUUACUAAAACUGGAAACAGAGCAAACUUUCACUGAACUAUCUCAAGAGAGCUCAUGUUUGUUUUUAAGCUGGGUUUAGUUAAGCUCCAAUGCUGCCUCUUGAUGAAUGGGCUUGUUGUUGAUGCUAAUGAGAUUUCUGUCAGCAUGUCGUAUAUGCUCUUACAAGAGAUAUGGGUUCUUAAGUUGGAUUCUUCAUGAUCUCCCAUGACCAUUAGCACAAGAAUGACAUAUUUAGUUUAGAAGGCAAAGUUGAUUAUUCUUCUUUGUAACUUUACAUAUGAUUGGCUACUUUUCUUCUCUUUUACUUUUGAUCCCUGGUUUUGUAACUCUCUUCCAGGUAAAUCAACCCUUUAGCCUUACUAGACUUCUGUCACUCCUAGUUUUCAAAAUUUGUAAAGUCUUACGUCUCAUGAACGAUGAAAGGGAUGUGAUGAAUCAUUGUGUCAUUCACAUCAUGGAUGAUGCUUUAAAAUUAUACGUUUAUUAUGGAUUGAAUGAAUUAUUA
Camellia sinensis is the source of this 3876-nucleotide non-coding RNA. The record is from RefSeq and is a predicted model, not a curated record. NCBI's taxonomy places the organism in Eukaryota, Viridiplantae, Streptophyta, Magnoliopsida, Ericales, Theaceae.